GACUUAUUAGUUCAGUUGAUUAGAACGUUGUGCUAAUAACCUGAUAGCCACAGGUUUGAUUCUUGUUUGGGUCA
Non-coding RNA from Glycine soja, 74 nucleotides. The record is from Rfam. NCBI's taxonomy places the organism in Eukaryota, Viridiplantae, Streptophyta, Magnoliopsida, Fabales, Fabaceae.